AGAGUUUGAUCAUGGCUCAGAUUGAACGCUGGCGGCACGCCUAACACAUGCAAGUCGAGCGGUAGCAGGGCUAGUAGCAAUACUAGUUGCUGACGAGCGGCGGACGGGUGAGGAACACGUAGGAACCUGCCCUCAAGCGGGGGAUAACCAAGGGAAACUUUGGCUAAUACCGCAUAAUCUCGAGAGAGAAAAGCUACCCGCAAGGGCGGCACUUGAGGAGGGGCCUGCGUCCGAUUAGCUAGUUGGUGGGGUAAAGGCCUACCAAGGCGAUGAUCGGUAACUGGUCUGAGAGGACGACCAGUCACACUGGGACUGAGACACGGCCCAGACUCCUACGGGAGGCAGCAGUGGGGAAUAUUGGACAAUGGGGGCAACCCUGAUCCAGCGAUGCCGCGUGAGUGAAGAAGGCCCUCGGGUCGUAAAGCUCUUUAGGUUGGGAAGAAGUUUAUUUGUUUAAUAGACGAGUAGAUUGACGGUACCGACAGAAUAAGCACCGGCAAACUCUGUGCCAGCAGCCGCGGUAAUACAGAGGGUGCGAGCGUUAAUCGGAAUUACUGGGCGUAAAGGGCGCGUAGGCGGUUAUAUGAGUGUGGUGUGAAAGCCCCGGGCUUAACCUGGGAAGUGCACCGCAAACGAUGUAACUGGAGUAGAUGAGAGGGUGGCGGAAUUUCCGGUGUAGCGGUGAAAUGCGUAGAGAUCGGAAGGAACGUCAAUGGCGAAGGCAGCCACCUGGCAUCAUACUGACGCUGAGGCGCGAAAGCGUGGGGAGCGAACAGGAUUAGAUACCCUGGUAGUCCACGCUGUAAACGAUGAGUACUAAAGGUUGGUAGGGGAACCUAUCAGUCUUGAAGCUAACGCGAUAAGUACUCCGCCUGGGAAGUACGGCCGCAAGGUUGAAACUCAAAUGAAUUGACGGGGGCCCGCACAAGCGGUGGAGCAUGUGGUUUAAUUCGAUGCAACGCGAAGAACCUUACCAGGGCUUAAAUGUAAGUUGCAUAGAUCAGAGAUGGUCUUUUCUUCGGACUACUUACAAGGUGCUGCAUGGUUGUCGUCAGCUCGUGCCGUGAGGUGUCAGGUUAAGUCCUAUAACGAGCGCAACCCCUGUCGUUAGUUGCCAUCAAGUAAUGUUGGGUACUCUAGCGAGACUGCCGGUGCAAACCGUGAGGAAGGUGGGGAUGACGUCAAAUCAUCACGGCCCUUACGUCCUGGGCUACACACGUGCUACAAUGGCCGGUACAGAGAGCAGCCACUACGCGAGUAGGAGCGAAUCUAUAAAACCGGUCUCAGUUCGGAUCGCAGUCUGCAACUCGACUGCGUGAAGCUGGAAUCGCUAGUAAUCGGAUAUCAGCCAUGAUCCGGUGAAUACGUUCCCGGGCCUUGUACACACCGCCCGUCAAGCCAUGGAAGCUGGGGGUACCUGAAGUCGGUGACCGCAAGGAGCUGCCUAGGGUAAAACUAGUAACUGGGGCUAAGUCGUAACAAGGUAGCCGUA
Molecule: ribosomal RNA, 1492 nt
Filed under: uncultured bacterium
Lineage: Bacteria
Description: bacterial SSU rRNA
Rfam family: Bacterial small subunit ribosomal RNA
Source: RNAcentral